GAAGGCUUGACCUCAAAUCCAGGUAGGCUACCCUUCUGAACUUAAGCAUAUCAUAGCCGGAAG
RNAcentral lists this ribosomal RNA (63 nucleotides) under Pisolithus albus. RNAcentral describes it as "partial 28S ribosomal RNA". The record is from RNAcentral. Lineage: Eukaryota; Fungi; Basidiomycota; Agaricomycetes; Boletales; Pisolithaceae.